GGGUUGUGAGGUUAAGCGACUAAGCGUACACGGUGGAUGCCCUGGCAGUCAGAGGCGAUGAAGGACGUGCUAAUCUGCGAAAAGCGUCGGUAAGGUGAUAUGAACCGUUAUAACCGGCGAUGUCCGAAUGGGGAAACCCAGUGCAAUUCGUUGCACUAUCGUUAACUGAAUACAUAGGUUAACGAGGCGAACCGGGGGAACUGAAACAUCUAAGUACCCCGAGGAAAAGAAAUCAACCGAGAUUCCCCCAGUAGCGGCGAGCGAACGGGGAGCAGCCCAGAGUCUGAAUCAGCUUGUGUGUUAGUGGAACGGUCUGGAAAGUCCGACGGUACAGGGUGAUAGUCCCGUACACCAAAAUGCACAGGCUGUGAACUCGAAGAGUAGGGCGGGACACGUGGUAUCCUGUCUGAAUAUGGGGGGACCAUCCUCCAAGGCUAAAUACUCCUGACUGACCGAUAGUGAACCAGUACCGUGAGGGAAAGGCGAAAAGAACCCCGGCGAGGGGAGUGAAAAAGAACCUGAAACCGUGUACGUACAAGCAGUGGGAGCACCUUCGGGUGUGACUGCGUACCUUUUGUAUAAUGGGUCAGCGACUUAUAUUCUGUAGCAAGGUUAACCGUAUAGGGGAGCCGCAGGGAAACCGAGUCUUAACUGGGCGUUAAGUUGCAGGGUAUAGACCCGAAACCCGGUGAUCUAGCCAUGGGCAGGUUGAAGGUUGGGUAACACUAACUGGAGGACCGAACCGACUAAUGUUGAAAAAUUAGCGGAUGACUUGUGGCUGGGGGUGAAAGGCCAAUCAAACCGGGAGAUAGCUGGUUCUCCCCGAAAGCUAUUUAGGUAGCGCCUCGUGAACUCAUCUUCGGGGGUAGAGCACUGUUUCGGCUAGGGGGUCAUCCCGACUUACCAACCCGAUGCAAACUACGAAUACCGAAGAAUGUUAUCACGGGAGACACACGGCGGGUGCUAACGUCCGUCGUGAAGAGGGAAACAACCCAGACCGCCAGCUAAGGUCCCAAAGUCAUGGUUAAGUGGGAAACGAUGUGGGAAGGCACAGACAGCGAUGUUGGCUUAGAAGCAGCCAUCAUUUAAAGAAAGCGUAAUAGCUCACUGGUCGAGUCGGCCUGCGCGGAAGAUGUAACGGGGCUAAACCAUGCACCGAAGCUGCGGCAGCGACACUAUGUGUUGUUGGGUAGGGGAGCGUUCUGUAAGCCUGCGAAGGUGUGCUGUGAGGCAUGCUGGAGGUAUCAGAAGUGCGAAUGCUGACAUAAGUAACGAUAAAGCGGGUGAAAAGCCCGCUCGCCGGAAGACCAAGGGUUCCUGUCCAACGUUAAUCGGGGCAGGGUGAGUCGACCCCUAAGGCGAGGCCGAAAGGCGUAGUCGAUGGGAAACAGGUUAAUAUUCCUGUACUUGGUGUUACUGCGAAGGGGGGACGGAGAAGGCUAUGUUAGCCGGGCGACGGUUGUCCCGGUUUAAGCAUGUAGGCUGGUUAUCCAGGCAAAUCCGGAUAAUCAAGGCUGAGGUGUGAUGACGAGGCACUACGGUGCUGAAGUAACAAAUGCCCUGCUUCCAGGAAAAGCCUCUAAGCAUCAGGUAACAUCAAAUCGUACCCCAAACCGACACAGGUGGUCAGGUAGAGAAUACCAAGGCGCUUGAGAGAACUCGGGUGAAGGAACUAGGCAAAAUGGUGCCGUAACUUCGGGAGAAGGCACGCUGGUGUGUAGGUGAAGCCCCUGCGGGUGGAGCUGAGACCAGUCGAAGAUACCAGCUGGCUGCAACUGUUUAUUAAAACACAGCACUGUGCAAACACGAAAGUGGACGUAUACGGUGUGACGCCUGCCCGGUGCCGGAAGGUUAAUUGAUGGGGUUAUCCGUAAGGAGAAGCUCUUGAUCGAAGCCCCGGUAAACGGCGGCCGUAACUAUAACGGUCCUAAGGUAGCGAAAUUCCUUGUCGGGUAAGUUCCGACCUGCACGAAUGGCGUAAUGAUGGCCAGGCUGUCUCCACCCGAGACUCAGUGAAAUUGAACUCGCUGUGAAGAUGCAGUGUACCCGCGGCAAGACGGAAAGACCCCGUGAACCUUUACUAUAGCUUGACACUGAACAUUGAGCCUUGAUGUGUAGGAUAGGUGGGAGGCUUUGAAGCGUGGACGCCAGUCUGCGUGGAGCCAACCUUGAAAUACCACCCUUUAAUGUUUGAUGUUCUAACGUUGGCCCCUUACCGGGGUUGCGGACAGUGUCUGGUGGGUAGUUUGACUGGGGCGGUCUCCUCCCAAAGCGUAACGGAGGAGCACGAAGGUUAGCUAAUCCCUGGUCGGACAUCAGGAGGUUAGUGCAAUGGCAUAAGCUAGCUUGACUGCGAGCGUGACGGCGCGAGCAGGUGCGAAAGCAGGUCAUAGUGAUCCGGUGGUUCUGAAUGGAAGGGCCAUCGCUCAACGGAUAAAAGGUACUCCGGGGAUAACAGGCUGAUACCGCCCAAGAGUUCAUAUCGACGGCGGUGUUUGGCACCUCGAUGUCGGCUCAUCACAUCCUGGGGCUGAAGUAGGUCCCAAGGGUAUGGCUGUUCGCCAUUUAAAGUGGUACGCGAGCUGGGUUUAGAACGUCGUGAGACAGUUCGGUCCCUAUCUGCCGUGGGCGCUGGAGAAUUGAGGGGGGCUGCUCCUAGUACGAGAGGACCGGAGUGGACGCAUCACUGGUGUUCGGGUUGUCAUGCCAAUGGCACUGCCCGGUAGCUAAAUGCGGAAGAGAUAAGUGCUGAAAGCAUCUAAGCACGAAACUUGCCCCGAGAUGAGUUCUCCCCUGAGACUUUAAGUCUCCUGAAGGAACGUUGAAGACGACGACGUUGAUAGGCCGGGUGUGUAAGCGCAGCGAUGCGUUGAGCUAACCGGUACUAAUGAACCGUGAGGCUUAACCUUACAACGCCGAAG
Molecule: ribosomal RNA, 2921 nt
Filed under: Klebsiella pneumoniae
Lineage: Bacteria; Pseudomonadati; Pseudomonadota; Gammaproteobacteria; Enterobacterales; Enterobacteriaceae
Description: bacterial LSU rRNA
Rfam family: Bacterial large subunit ribosomal RNA
Source: RNAcentral